RNAcentral lists this ribosomal RNA (253 nucleotides) under uncultured bacterium. Its description in RNAcentral is "partial 16S ribosomal RNA". It matches the Rfam family "Bacterial small subunit ribosomal RNA", at positions 524 to 776 of the family's 1533-position model. The record is from RNAcentral.
UACGAAGGGUGCAAGCGUUAAUCGGAAUUACUGGGCGUAAAGCGUGCGUAGGUGGUCUUUUAAGUCCGUUGUGAAAGCCCUGGGCUCAACCUGGGAAUGGCAGUGGAUACUGGAAGGCUGGAGUACGGUAGAGGAGGGUGGAAUUCCCGGUGUAGCGGUGAAAUGCGUAGAGAUCGGGAGGAACAUCAGUGGCGAAGGCGGCCCUCUGGACCAGUACUGACGCCGAGGCACGAAAGCGUGGGGAGCAAACAGG